CAUAAAGUUAUGGGUAAACCCACUACAUUUUUAAAUUAUGUAAAUGAAGAAGCAAAGGACACUCCCCCCCAACACCCUCUGUACCCACCGUCAAGGCCCUGCAGACACCACUUGCCUCUCUUCCAUUCUCGCCCACCGAAUGCAGCUGCUGUUAACAGGUUGUCACACCUCCUUCCAGACAUUUUUAUGCCUAUAUAUAAUCAGCGUUCUAGAAAUUUCCCUCUGGCACCUGUGCAAAGCAUGGAUGGAAUGGGGCCAGCCCAGAGCAGGAAGCCCCGUCAGGAGGUUGCUACAGUAAUUCAGCUCUUGGAAGAUUUCCAUCAAAAUAAAAGUAACUUAGUAUCUUACCAUACAUUUUAAGCCCAGUUACAGUUUCAGACACAAAGAUGGAUAGUGUUGAAAGCUUUUGUGAUAGGGGCCAGGAAAAUUAAAUUUUCCAAACAUCAUUUAUUUCCCAGAUUUGUAUGAGGGAGCCAGAUUAGGGGCUGAGGUGGUAGCUAAUGCUCUCCGUCCUUACCUUCCUCCCCUCGCUUUCCCGGGAGAAACAUUGGGGCAGAAGCACAGAGACUAGAGGCUAGAUGGAGAGAGAGACUGGGGAGCUGGUGAGAAGUGUGGAGUUGUUUUCCCAUCUCCAACCAAGUCAGGCUGCUCAGGGCAUACUGAGGAGCCUUGGGGGUCUACAGCCAAGCCAUGGGGCCUGUGGGUGUUUAGAAAAGCCUGAACAGUGGACAUUGCAGCAGAACCUCUUGGAGCGGGAGCUGAGGGCCCGUCAGCAAUACUGGCAGCUCCAG
This 791-nucleotide long non-coding RNA is filed under the name Rattus norvegicus (Norway rat). RNAcentral describes it as "long non-coding RNA NONRATT028561". Lineage: Eukaryota; Metazoa; Chordata; Mammalia; Rodentia; Muridae. The record is from RNAcentral.